CUGCUGCCUUCCGUAGGAGUUUGGGCCGUGUCUCAGUCCCAAUGUGGCCGUUCACCCUCUCAGGCCGGCUACUGAUCGUCGCCUUGGUGGGCUUCUACCCCGCCAACCAGCUAAUCAGACGCGGAUCCAUCUUACACCACCGAAGUUUUUCACACUGAGCCAUGCGGCUCUGUGCGCUUAUGCGGUAUUAGCACCUAUUUCUAAGUGUUAUCCCCCAGUGUAAGGCAGGUUAUCCACGCGUUACUCACCCG
This 251-nucleotide ribosomal RNA is filed under the name uncultured bacterium. Its description in RNAcentral is "partial 16S ribosomal RNA". The record is from RNAcentral.